This 234-nucleotide ribosomal RNA is filed under the name uncultured bacterium. Its description in RNAcentral is "partial 16S ribosomal RNA". It matches the Rfam family "Bacterial small subunit ribosomal RNA", at positions 118 to 347 of the family's 1533-position model. The record is from RNAcentral.
UGAGGAACAUGACCUUCGGCGGGGGAUAGCCGGCCCAACGGCCGGGUAAUACCGCGUACGACCACAUGGGGACAUCCCUGAGUGGUGAAAGCAGCAAUGCGCCGAUGGAGUGCCUCGCGGCCUAUCAGCUAGUUGGUGGGGUAACGGCUCACCAAGGCAACGACGGGUAGCUGGUCUGAGAGGAUGGCCAGCCACAUUGGGACUGAGAUACGGCCCAGACUCCCGUAGGGACGG